CGAGAGGGUUAGACCCUCGGCAAACGGGUUAGUAACGCGUAGGGAACGUGCCCUCAAGUCAUGAAUAACCCGGAGAAAUCCGGGAUAAUACAUGAGUGUGCUCUACGGAGUAAAGAUUUAUCGCUUGAGGAGCGGCCUGCGUCCUAUCAGCUUGUUGGUAAGGUAACGGCUUACCAAGGCUAUGACGGGUAGGGGGUGUGAGAGCAUGACCCCCAACAUUGGAACUGAGACACUGUCCAA
Molecule: ribosomal RNA, 240 nt
Filed under: uncultured bacterium
Lineage: Bacteria
Description: partial 16S ribosomal RNA
Rfam family: Bacterial small subunit ribosomal RNA
Source: RNAcentral